This 5039-nucleotide long non-coding RNA is filed under the name Gallus gallus (chicken). RNAcentral's name for it is "lncRNA (ENSGALG00010003792.1)". The record is from RNAcentral. Lineage: Eukaryota; Metazoa; Chordata; Aves; Galliformes; Phasianidae.
CUUCACCAUCAUGACCAUUAAACCAAGAAGUGGGCUGCAGGAAGCACCAGUUCUGUUCAGACAUCAGGGAGGGAACACAGGAAUUGAGGAAGGGGAGAUGGAGGGUCUUGAGGUCAGUUCUCAGAAGACAAGAAUAUGAGGAGGUGCUAGGAGGAGCCUUCGGGGUGAUAGCGGUGCAAUGGCAAGGAGAGGAAUGUCCAUCAGCAUCAAGGUUUCUCAGGAGGCAGAGCACAGUGUGCCCUCAUUUCCCCCUGAAGCCCUACAGGACGUUGCCCUGUAGCAAUGCUUCACACAGACCGCUCCUGGACUGGCACUACAGCCCUGCAGAGAGCUUAGCUGGAGAAACACAGCCCUGAUCAGCCUAUCCAUGGCCUCGUGGAUGGAGCACUGAAUUAUAGAAUCACAGAAUUGCUCAGGUUGGAAAAGACCUUCAAGAUCAUCGAGUCCAACCGCAGCCCAACCAUCCUACCCUAACUCUAACAACCCUCUGCUAAAUCGUGGCCCUGAAGCCAAGGUGAGGACGUUCCCCUGCACAGAAGCAGCUGCUGCUGCAUCUCCUGUGCUGCUUUUGUACCCAGGAUGAAGCCAAGGUGGGGGCAGAAGGAGAAGGGAAGGGAGAUGGGAAGGAGGGUGUUAAGUAUUUGAUGCUGCAGGGAUGGAACGGCUCAUUCCUACUGUCUGUAGGACCAGUCAAAGAUAAGCAAAUGAAUGAAGUAAAACAAAUUAGUCACAACCACUUGGUUACUGGAGAAAUAAGGAGAAAGUGAGAGAGAAAAAGAGCCCAGUGGAGACCUCCAUGAGGUCUGAGAGGGCACCAGGAGGGGUCAGAUCAUGGAGCUGACAGGGGAGGGCCGGGGGGGGUGGAGUGAGGGAAAGGCUGGUCAGUGGGGGGAGCCCCAAGGCCGUGCCAUGAGGAUGGGACUCAGUGCUCUGUAGGUUCAGAGCUGUGCAUGGGAACCCUGGGGGCCAAAACAGCGAUGCCACUGAUGGCACUGGGGACUGAACUUGCCCUGGGCUGCUUGCUGCCUGCCACCCGCGUGGCAGUGGGGUCUGUAUGAAUAACUAGAUCUGUCCUCCCGGCUCUCUGUUAGCAUCUGCAUCUCCUCCAGCCUCAUCUCCUCUGUCCUUACUAUUUUUAAACCUAUUUCCGCUCCUCUCUCCUUCUUCAGUUCAGCCUUUCCCAUACGCUUCACUGACACUUCUAGCCCGGAAAACCCAACUAAAUAUAAUUAUUCUCCCAUUUGUCAGCCCUGCCAGGGAUCGGAGGAAGCUUGGAGCGGAGGAAUGGUGCAGCUUUUGUGGUUUUCCAUCAUUUUGGAAGCAUGGGAAGCUGCUGUUCACCAGCACACGUAGCCAAAAGUGCAUUCCUAGGGCAGGAUCUGGGUAUGGGGCUGGGGCUGGGACAGGCAAGAGGAACCCCAACAGCCAUAAAGGCUGGGGGAGGCUUUUGGCUUGACUCAACCCCAAGGGCAGUGCGGGGGUGGGUGGCAUUAGGAUACAUUUUCUGCCCACCUGAAACAAGAGCACUGAGAUUGUUUAGCUAAUAGGAAAACACAGGCCAUAAAGUCCUACAGAACCACGACACGGUGCGGUGAUGUCUCCUUGCUUCUCCAACACCUGAUGUCCACAAAGCCUAAUUUGUACCAAGGCUACGCCAUCCCCCUGCCCGGUGACCCACCUUCAAUCAUACAAUCAUGGGAGAUCCAAGAAGCAGUGAAUUGCUUCAUGCAAAGGUAUGUCAACGAGUCUCUCUUGAGGAGUCAGUGGCAGAGCCUGGAGAUGAUCCAUUACACAGCCCGCAGUUUAUGAACUUGCCUCCAGCAGGUCCUAUUAUUCCAUUAGCUGGAAUUAGGGAGAAAAGCAUUGUUAAACAGCUAAUUCAUCGAGACAGACCUUUACGCAGUGACUAAACUUGAGGUUUGUUUGGAAAGUGGAGAUAAAUGUGAGGAAAAAAUACCAUGCAGCCUCGAUGACUGUUCUUCUUUAUAUUUUCUCUGUCUGAAAAUUAUACUUCAGGCUCCAUUUAGCCCCUUUUUAGUCCGGAAGAUUAGGGAAACAAAAAAGAACACGUGUUGCAUUCAAAGUAAGCACAGUAGAUUUCUCUUCUGGCUAUAAAACUGAACCAAACCAUCAGUUUGAUCUCCUGGAGUGCCCCAGGGUAAAAAACUCCACUCCUCCCAAAUCAGUGCUCGUAUCACCAGAGAAGGUUCGCGCGCCAUCAGCAGAGAGAGAUUUCUUGCUCAUGGUUCUUCCCACCAUGAGCUGUAUAGGGUCGUGAUGUCCUAUGGAUGCUGCCUCCACCACUGAGGUGACUGAAACAUCACGGGGGUGUCCCUCUGCUUUGCAGAGGAGGGUGAAAAACCAGCUUCAUCCACACCUAGCAUCCCAUAGCCACCAGCAUCCCGCUGCUCAUCACUGGAGAUGCUCAUCAGUCUCGCACCAAAGCAGUACCUUCCAGGAAACCCAAUGUAGAUUCAGCCACCCGUGUGCCCAGGGAUGGGGCUGGCUCUGUCCCAGCGAGCCCCAUUCUGUGACCUUGGUGAUCCCAUCAGUGGCUUCCCAGACACAGAGGUGCCGGUCACACCAGUUUGUUUUAGUGAGGUUGGACUAAGAGCUUCCCGUCAGCUUUGCAGUGCAGGCUGGAAACGUGAGCCCCCAGCACUCAUGCACUGCCCCUUCAGCCUCUUCUCACUGCUGCAUCCUCACCUUUACUUCCCACUCCACCUCAGCUCCUCCUUUGCGAGGUACAUCCCAACUCCCGCUGAAUUCAGUGCUUGGAAUGAAUAAAGCAUGGGAGACUUCCCCACCAUUUAGGCCAGCUUUGCCCCUCAAAUCACUCCCAGCAAUUAUUUCCAUGGGGAAAAGUCCAGAUGUUUCACAGAGUCACCACGGUUGGAAAAGAGCUCCAAGACCAUCCAGUCCAACCAUCCACCACCACCAUUUCCCCCACUGAACCACGUCCCUUAGCACAACAUUUACGUGGUUCUUGAACACCUCCAGGGAUGGUGACUCAGCUUCAUGCCAAGAGGUUCCCAUCCCUUGGGAGAGAGUUCCCAUCCCUUGGGUGUAUUGAAGGAGAGGUGGAGAAGUGGGUUUUUCUCUAAUUUCUGGCGUCAUGUCCGGCUGGAGAAUGGGAAAGGGCUAAGAGAAAAAACCACAAAACACAGCCUCGAGAAGCUGAAGAAUAAAACAAAGAAUAAAAACGGGAGAGAAAAGGAUGGGGGAUUCCUGGAAAAACAAACAACAAAGAAACCUGGCCUGGAAAUGAGGCACCACUUUGCACAUCCAGCGUGACUUUGGAAACUGCAGUCAGUGGUACUGCUGGGUACGACCGUCACCAACAGAUGGCAGAGAUGUCAGAAGUUUGGGGUCUGAGUGUUUCCCUUUAAAUGAAGUGCAGCUCUUGGUCUGUGUCCUGACCUAUUCGAGGCUCCGGAGCUGCCUUGCAUUCUUUGCUGCUUCUUCUCUAUGUUCGGGCAGCGAAUGAGCUUGAAAUAAACCCCAGCUGGAUGGGGCUGAGCCAGAACCACGCAGGAGAGGAGGGCGGCUCUGAGAGGCUUCAAUCCACACGUAUCUUUUAACCACAUCAUUCUCCUCGGAUUCUAACUAGGAGUAAUUACAGGGGGAUAUGAGACUCGUCCUGGAAGCCAACAGAAUCCAGGAGUGCAAACAGUAUAGAAAGACGGGCUCCAUUUGUGCGCGGCUGGCAAACACUCAGCAUUCCCCUGGAGGUGAUUAGGGGUGAGACAACGGUCCCCAUUCAUCACCUCCUCCCACUGUACCUCUCCCUUGCCUGCCUGGCCACCUCUGCUCCAUGCUGAACAAGAGACCUUGUGUGCAAAACCCGAGUCCAUCAGCGCCGACGCCUCCUCCAGGCUUUGAAACAGCUUUGCAUGCCACGGGUGCAAUGUAAGAGAGGUUUCAUUUGCUGUGCAUUGGCCAGGAGCAUGAGCUGUGCUGCUGCCCGGCAGCCUCAGAGGUGGAGGUGAAAAGGGUUGGAGCAAAGCUGGGCAUUCACAUUGGAGAAGGGGCAUUGACCAUGGUCCUGUGGUGCUGCAAAACACAAAGUGGGAGCCUGUCUGUGCCUGGGGUUUAUGCAGACUGACCAGAAGUAGGAGAGAAGAAGAGAUGCAGAAGCUUCUCCGUGGCUGUCAGGGACCACACAGCCUGCCAGAUCCGUGGAUGGAUGGAGGAGAUGCCUCUGUGGCUCCCUAUAAAGCACUCAGCAUCCUUUCGGAGUGGGCAUGCAGCACAAAGCAGCACAGGUUUCACAGCACGGGACACCCAGCUUCUGCUCUGCCCCAGCCUUGCACUCCGUGCCUCAGUUUCCCCGGUCCUUGAGCCAAUCAGCCUCACUUAGCUUUACAAAACCCGGAAAUCUGCAGCUGCAGACCUUGCUGUGGGAUGAGUCAGAUGUUCCAGCUCACAGCUGCUGAGCCCCGCGUGGCUGCGGCCGUCUCCCUGGGCUGCAUUUGUCCCUCUUCCUGCAGCCACAAGUAUCCGAGUGCCUGAGAGCCCCAUGAGCUCCCGGACCCAUUUGGGAAGAUGGGAAACCUUCUUAGAGGUUCAAAGCUUCUGUAAGCAACAGAGCUCCAUCUCCAUCGGUGUGUUAUGAAUGGAUAUAACCCCCGGUCUCUGCACUGGCAGAGGGAAGGAGAGAAAAGCCAGGGUGUAUUUCCCUGCAGUGGCCAAACUGCCCGUCAGCGCCCACAGCAGCUAAUGAACUCUAGGAACAGCUACUUGCCAAGGCUCGUGCUGCCAGGACAGCUGAGCACAACAAGGUUUGGCCACGUGUUUUGCAAGACGUGCUGCAUCCAGUGGCCGGAGGGCGAUUUGCAAAGAAAAAGCAGAGAAACGUUUGCAUUUGGGUGCAUUUCUGUGCUUUCGGCAAAGGCUGCAGACAGCUGGGGCUGAUUCUAAGAUGGGAAGCAGAGAAAGGUUCACUGGACGAUCAGCAGCAUUCCUCCCUGCAAGUAAUAAAAGAAGGAAAAUGGAAAUCUUGCCGUGGCUUUUGCUUCUAAAUUUAACACAGUUCUCCC